This 253-nucleotide ribosomal RNA is filed under the name uncultured bacterium. RNAcentral describes it as "partial 16S ribosomal RNA". It matches the Rfam family "Bacterial small subunit ribosomal RNA", at positions 524 to 776 of the family's 1533-position model. The record is from RNAcentral.
UACGUAGGGUGCGAGCGUUAAUCGGAAUUACUGGGCGUAAAGCGUGCGCAGGCGGCGCGUUAAGACAGAUGUGAAAUCCCCGGGCUUAACCUGGGAACUGCGUUUGUUACUGGCAAGCUAGAGUGUGUCAGAGGGAGGUAGAAUUCCACGUGUAGCAGUGAAAUGCGUAGAUAUGUGGAGGAAUACCGAUGGCGAAGGCAGCCUCCUGGGAUAACACUGACGCUCAUGCACGAAAGCGUGGGGAGCAAACAGG